GAGGGUAUAGCUCAGUGGUAGAGUGCAUGCUUAGCACGCACGAAGUCCUGGGUUCAAUCUCCAAUACAUCUA
RNAcentral lists this transfer RNA (72 nucleotides) under Camelus bactrianus (Bactrian camel). It matches the Rfam family "tRNA". Rfam says of the family: Transfer RNA (tRNA) molecules are approximately 80 nucleotides in length. RNAcentral also lists the same sequence under 2 other names. The record is from Rfam by way of RNAcentral. Lineage: Eukaryota; Metazoa; Chordata; Mammalia; Artiodactyla; Camelidae.